Molecule: ribosomal RNA, 253 nt
Filed under: uncultured bacterium
Lineage: Bacteria
Description: partial 16S ribosomal RNA
Rfam family: Bacterial small subunit ribosomal RNA
Source: RNAcentral
UACGAAGGGUGCAAACGUUGCUCGGAAUUAUUGGGCGUAAAGGGCGCGUAGGCGGCGUGACAAGUCACUUGUGAAAUCUCCGGGCUUAACUCGGAACGGUCAAGUGAUACUGUCGGACUAGAGUACAGAAGGGGCAACUGGAAUUCUCGGUGUAGCGGUGAAAUGCGUAGAUAUCGAGAGGAACACCUGCGGCGAAGGCGGGUUGCUGGGCUGAUACUGACGCUGAGGCGCGAAAGCCAGGGGAGCGAACGGG